GCCAGGCAUGGUGGCUCAUGCCUGUAAUCCCACCACUUUGGGAGGCUGAGGUGGGCGGAUCACCUGAGGUCAGGAGUUCAAGACCAGCCUGGCCAACAUGGUGAAACCCCGUCUCUA
Molecule: non-coding RNA, 117 nt
Filed under: Gorilla gorilla gorilla (western lowland gorilla)
Lineage: Eukaryota; Metazoa; Chordata; Mammalia; Primates; Hominidae
Source: Rfam by way of RNAcentral